This 103-nucleotide transfer RNA is filed under the name Alphaproteobacteria bacterium. Its description in RNAcentral is "tRNA-OTHER". Lineage: Bacteria; Pseudomonadati; Pseudomonadota; Alphaproteobacteria. The record is from RNAcentral.
GGUGGGUCUAAUGGGAUAUCAUUGCCUAUAAUUACCCAUCAUUCUGCUUUUUAACCGCCCUUUCACGGCGGCAACAGGGGUUCGAAUCCCCUACGGGAUGCCA